GAUGAAGAACGUAGUGAAAUGCGAUAAGUAAUGUGAAUUGCAGAAUUCCGUGAAUCAUCGAAUCUUUGAACGCACAUUGCGCCCGCCAGUAUUCUGGCGGGCAUGCCUGUUCGAGCGUCAUUACAACCCUCAGGCCCCCGGGCCUGGCGUUGGGGAUCGGCGGAAGCCCCCUGCGGGCACAACGCCGUCCCCCAAAUACAGUGGCGGUCCCGCCGCAGCUUCCAUUGCGUAGUAGCUAACACCUCGCAACUGGAGAGCGGCGCGGCCACGCCGUAAAACACCCAACUUCUGAAUGUUGACCUCGAAUCAGGUAGGAAUACCCGCUGAACUUAAGCAUAUCAAUAAGCGGAGG
This 352-nucleotide unclassified non-coding RNA is filed under the name soil metagenome. RNAcentral's name for it is "partial contains 5.8S ribosomal RNA, internal transcribed spacer 2, and large subunit ribosomal RNA". The stretch from base 1 to 120 matches the Rfam family "5.8S ribosomal RNA", at positions 35 to 154 of the family's 154-position model. The record is from RNAcentral.